RNAcentral lists this long non-coding RNA (1150 nucleotides) under Volvox carteri. Its description in RNAcentral is "long non-coding RNA (VCAR_LNC002740)". The record is from RNAcentral. Lineage: Eukaryota; Viridiplantae; Chlorophyta; Chlorophyceae; Chlamydomonadales; Volvocaceae.
AUGGGGCCCAUCAGUUGUGUAGGUUAACGCAACUCUGCAGCGAGGGGAGAGCGUUACGGCGCGACGUUUGAGGCACACACACACACACGCUGCAGCAGCAGCUUUGGAUGGAAAAAGCAAGGGAAGCCCAACGCUGUUAAAAGUAGAGAGGGGGGGGGGAAGGGAUGACGCAAGGAAGGCAAAGGAGUACAGGAGGGAGGCCGCGGAAGGUGAGAGGACCAGCACUGGGCAAUAGGAAACGGCUCGAGCCAACCUUUCGCAGCAUCUCUUGCACAGUAUGUUCCUGGCACAGCGCAAAGCGCGGCUGUUGAACGCCUGAGUUCCAAGAAGCGAACGAACUCGCUGCUAUAUUUCUGCCGAUUACCUUUGUCUGUUUUCAUUUCCUGCCUAUUUUUCACAUGCCUUCUGUUUUGUUGUUGUGGAACCACGUCGUACGCAGUUGAAUUUAUACAAAAAAAUGUUCGAAGCGUGUUUGGAAGCGCUGCAUCGCGCCGAUUGUUCAUGUUUGGGAACCAGGAAGAAGGUUGUAUAUCCACGAGCGGAUGUUUGGAUAGUUUCCGAAUUUCAGCAACUUCACUUUUUGAAUUGUUUCCGUAUGGAGUGUACAAACAAUUGUACAAACAAGUACAAGUUGAAACGACUUGUUCUUGUAUAAAUCAGAUCAGCAUCUGAAUAAACCGGCAAGUUGUUUGGUAAAUACGGUUGCUGUUGCAACCGCCCUAGCUUUGAGGUAUUUUAUCUUGCACGAGAUGUCCUGAGUAACGGUAGUUGACUGGUGAAAUGGCUUUACGCUGAAGGGCUUUCAAAGCCAGAAGUUCUCCCUUCUGUUUCGGGUGUUACGGACAACCGAAGGUGCGGCGAAGGAAAUGAAAGUGGUGUUAAUUUCUAAACAGGCCGAAGGACGUGAAAGUGAUGUUUGAAGUUAUUACUCCCCGCCGGUUAUGUGCUUGGGGGAGAUCUAUCCUUACCAUCUCCUGCCACCCAACUUUUCCAGCGGCAGAGGCAGUUAAAUGGAUAGUCAGAUAGGGUUGUGAUGCAAAUUGACCCGUGGGUCGUUUUAUGCGCUGCAUUACGACUUUUUGCUGUACUGUAUGUACAUCUCGAAUGGCUGUUCAUCUCGCCCGUUGGAGGUCCUUCCUUUCCCCCCAUU